CACCGUGAGGUGGAAUCUGAAGGAAGAUAGAUGUCAGCAGGGAAAAGAAUGCUGGCAGGCAAACUCCUGAACCGACGAACAGAAAUCACAUAGUAGGCCGUAUAGGGACGGACGAGUGUGCUUAGCAACACAAAGUCCAAUGCUGCCCGAAUCCCAUGCGGUAAAUGUGGCGGUUACAUGGGAAGAGAGUUGU
RNAcentral lists this non-coding RNA (193 nucleotides) under pig gut metagenome. The record is from RNAcentral.